UUAACCUGGGUUGAUCCUGCCAGUCGUGAUAUGCUUGUCUCAAAGAUUAAGCCAUGCAUGCGUAGGUCUAUGGCUCCCUUGGGAUGCCAGAGACUGCAGACGGCUCAUUAUCUCAGUGAGAAUCUACUUUGCGAACACUCGAACUGGAUAAUUGCGGGAAUUCUGCGACUAAUACAAUUCGCUCGCUGGGGUAUCCGGCUCUCGACCAACCGCCUUGUGCGUCUUGUGUUGAAUCACGGAUUCCCUUCGUCGAUUCUAUCGACACGCAAAAUGGAUUUCUGCCCUAUCAACUAGACGGUUGGCUCUGGGCCUACCGUGGUUACAACGGGUGACGGGGAAUGAGGGUUCGACCCCGGAGAGGGAGCCUGAGAGACGGCUACCACAUCUAAGGAAGGCAGCAGGCGCGCAAAUUACCCAAUUCCUACUUGGGAGAGGUAGUGACAAGAUAUAACAAUAUCGGGCUCUAAGAGUCUGGUAAUGCAAUGAGCAGUGCAUAGCCGAGCAC
Molecule: ribosomal RNA, 505 nt
Filed under: Caulerpa sertularioides
Lineage: Eukaryota; Viridiplantae; Chlorophyta; Ulvophyceae; Bryopsidales; Caulerpaceae
Description: bacterial SSU rRNA
Rfam family: Eukaryotic small subunit ribosomal RNA
Source: RNAcentral